RNAcentral lists this unclassified non-coding RNA (837 nucleotides) under uncultured Acremonium. RNAcentral describes it as "sequence contains 18S rRNA gene, ITS1, 5.8S rRNA gene, ITS2 and 28S rRNA gene". The stretch from base 560 to 837 matches the Rfam family "Eukaryotic large subunit ribosomal RNA", at positions 1 to 281 of the family's 3401-position model. Lineage: Eukaryota; Fungi; Ascomycota. The record is from RNAcentral.
CUUGGUCAUUUAGAGGAAGUAAAAGUCGUAACAAGGUCUCCGUUGGUGAACCAGCGGAGGGAUCAUUACCAGAGUGCCCUAGGCUCUCCAACCCAUUGUGAACAUACCUAACGUUCCCUCGGCGGGCUCAGCGCGCGGUGCCUCCGGGCUCCGGGCGUCCGCCGGGGACAACCAAACCCUGAUUUUAUCGUGUAUCUCUGAGGGGCGAAAGCCCGAAAACAAAAUAAAUCAAAACUUUCAACAACGGAUCUCUUGGCUCUGGCAUCGAUGAAGAACGCAGCGAAAUGCGAUAAGUAAUGUGAAUUGCAGAAUUCAGUGAAUCAUCGAAUCUUUGAACGCACAUUGCGCCCGCCGGCACUCCGGCGGGCAUGCCUGUCCGAGCGUCAUUUCAACCCUCAGGGCCCCCUUUCGGGGGGGACCUGGUGCUGGGGAUCAGCGGCCCUCGGGCCCCUGUCCCCCAAAUACAGUGGCGGUCGCGCCGCAGCCUCCCCUGCGUAGUAGCACACCUCGCACCGGAGAGCGGUUCGACCACGCCGUAAAACCCCCAACUUUCCAAGGUUGACCUCGGAUCAGGUAGGAAUACCCGCUGAACUUAAGCAUAUCAAUAAGCGGAGGAAAAGAAACCAACAGGGAUUGCCUCAGUAACGGCGAGUGAAGCGGCAACAGCUCAAAUUUGAAAUCUGGCCGCAAGGUCCGAGUUGUAAUUUGUAGAGGAUGCUUUUGGCAAGGUGCCUUCCGAGUUCCCUGGAACGGGACGCCAUAGAGGGUGAGAGCCCCGUACGGUAGGACCACCAAGCCUCUGUAAAGCUCCUUCGACGAGUCGAGUUGUUUGGGAAU